CCUACGGGAGGCAGCAGUGGGGAAUAUUGCUCAAUGGGGGAAACCCUGAUGCAGCGACGCCGCGUGAAGGAAGAAGUCUUUCGGUAUGUAAACUUCUAUCAGCAGGGAAGAAAAUGACGGUACCUGACUCCGAUGCCCCGGCUAACUACGUGCCAGCAGCCGCGGUAAGACGUAGGGGGCAAGCGUUAUCCGGAUUUACUGGGUGUAAAGGGAGCGUAGGCGGUUUAGCAAGUCAGAAGUGAAAGCCCGGGGCUCAACUCCGGGACUGCUUUUGAAACUGUUGAACUAGAUUGCAGGAGAGGUAAGUGGAAUUCGUGGUGUAGCGGUGAAAUGCGUAGAUAUUAGGAAGAACACCAGUGGCGAAGGCGGCUUACUGGACGGAGAAUGACGCUGAGGCUCGAAAGCGUGGGGAGCAAACAGGAUUAGAUACCCGAGUAGUC
This 440-nucleotide ribosomal RNA is filed under the name uncultured bacterium. RNAcentral's name for it is "partial 16S ribosomal RNA". It matches the Rfam family "Bacterial small subunit ribosomal RNA", at positions 338 to 795 of the family's 1533-position model. The record is from RNAcentral.